GAUGAACGCUAGCUACAGGCUUAACACAUGCAAGUCGAGGGGAAACGACAUCGAAAGCUUGCUUUUGAUGGGCGUCGACCGGCGCACGGGUGAGUAACGCGUAUCCAACCUGCCCACCACUUGGGGAUAACCUUGCGAAAGUAAGACUAAUACCCAAUGAUAUCUCUAGAAGACAUCUGAAAGAGAUUAAAGAUUUAUCGGUGGUGGAUGGGGAUGCGUCUGAUUAGCUUGUUGGCGGGGUAACGGCCCACCAAGGCAACGAUCAGUAGGGGUUCUGAGAGGAAGGUCCCCCACAUUGGAACUGAGACACGGUCCAAACUCCUACGGGAGGCAGCAGUGAGGAAUAUUGGUCAAUGGACGAGAGUCUGAACCAGCCAAGUAGCGUGCAGGAAGACGGCCCUAUGGGUUGUAAACUGCUUUUAUAAGGGAAUAAAGUGAGUCUCGUGAGACUUUUUGCAUGUACCUUAUGAAUAAGGACCGGCUAAUUCCGUG
This 492-nucleotide ribosomal RNA is filed under the name uncultured bacterium. RNAcentral's name for it is "partial 16S ribosomal RNA". It matches the Rfam family "Bacterial small subunit ribosomal RNA", at positions 28 to 507 of the family's 1533-position model. The record is from RNAcentral.